CAAAGUAUAGAAAACAGCCCAUUAUACCUUGUAGAAAAGUUACAGCUUCUUAGAAGAGACGCUGCAAGUUCGCAGGUUAAAGAAAUAAUGAAGGAGUUUCCAGAGAUUGCCAUGGACACAAUUGUUCACAUUGUUCAGCGAAUGUCUCAGGCUCAGCGCAAAGAUGCUCUUGAAGCGUUAUCAAAUCUAGAUUUAGUUAAGCAGCCCCAGGUGGAACCAGAAUUGACACCAGAAUCACAGGAAGGCUCCAACUGACCCUUGUUGUGGCAGUAGUCACUCCCAACUACUUGCCACAUACACUAUUGUAUUAUGUUUCCCUAGCCUUUUAUCCCUAUUUCUGUUUACAUCCUUUAUCACCUUUGCAAGUUGAAUCACCAUGUGUAUAUUAGAUAUGUUCCCAGAUUUGAUAGUUUUGAAGGUUGUCACAAAUGAUGUACUGUACAGUAUAUAUACUCAUACAGCUUUAUAUAACUAAUUAAUUUUAAUCAGCAAAAUCUUGUUAAAAAUUCAUUAUUGCUAUUACUUUGAGAUAUACAUAUUGUAGUUGAGGUAAUGAAGAUGUUACAUAUAUUUAAAUUAGUAUUACCUCCCAUGUGUUGAAUGAACUGUUUUUUUUUUUUUUUUUAUUGAAAUUAUGCCCAGGUAAUUUUGUGAUUUAGGAAAGAUGUGUUAAGUAACUUUUGUCAGUCUCUUAAAAUAUCGCAUGAGCAGCAUCAAUUUUUAUUGUUAUUUUAAAGCAUAAAAAUUUAACCCAAAUAAUCUGCAUAUCUGUUUUUAGAAAAAUAAAGUAGUGCUGGAAAUGUGUGAAUCCUUUUAAGAUAAAAACAAAAUAUAUUUACGAUAUUUGCUUUUUGUGAUAUAUUGUCAAGGGUGCACUUUCUUAUGCAAAGGUCACAAUAAAGAAUUAAAUACUUAUUGCAGUAAAUAAUUUUGAAGCUUUACAUACUUCAAAUUUGACGCAGCCAACGAUAUUCCACAAGUAAAUUCUGCAAAUAGAUACAAAAGUUUGCUUGCUUGACUGUUUGUGGUAUCCACUGCAGUGUUGAGAUGUUUUAGUCAACAAAUCACGGAUGUUUCUUCCAACAUUAAACGUCCAGCGAAUAAGUACCAAAAAUAAUUUUAAAAAUACUUUAUAUUUUUAGAAUACUUCUGUAAUGCAAGUUUAAAUUCAAACAUUACAAAUCAAUAAUGGAAUUUUCUGUAUUUUUUUAUUUUGCCUUCAAGACGAGGCACAAGUUUUAUUGUAGUACUUUAGGCAGUCUUAGAAUUCAUUACUAACCAUUCAAUAUUCUGUAAAACUGUAAGUUUAGGAAUAUCAAAACCUAAAGUGGUUUGGAGAGUAAUUGAAGGAUUCAACUUUUGUCUAAAUUCUUAAUGGUCAUCACUGUAAUUGUACGCUUCAGGUUGGUAGUUUACUGCAUGAAAGAGUUGAAAUUGAAAAGAUGCAGUAAUCACAAAAUUACUGGGCUUUUACAUUACAUUUUUUAAUGGUAUUUCAAAAAAGCCUUUUUAUUUGGAACAGUUCUUUACACAUAAGCUAAAUUAGGUUUUAAAAAAUGGCCAUUCAAUGGCCUGGUGAUAAUGCUUAUUUGCUAGGAAUAGUGUAAUGUGUAAGUGGAAAGGUUGGCUAUGUUUUAUAUAGGUACUAUUAUGUAUUGAAUAAAAAAGUUCAUUAAUUUUUUAUAAAUCUUGUAUUCAUAAUAUAGUUUAUUAAUUUUU
Macrobrachium nipponense is the source of this 1719-nucleotide long non-coding RNA. RefSeq lists it as uncharacterized. NCBI's taxonomy places the organism in Eukaryota, Metazoa, Arthropoda, Malacostraca, Decapoda, Palaemonidae. The record is from RefSeq and is a predicted model, not a curated record. The transcript is spliced from 2 exons.